Molecule: ribosomal RNA, 450 nt
Filed under: uncultured Alphaproteobacteria bacterium
Lineage: Bacteria; Pseudomonadati; Pseudomonadota; Alphaproteobacteria
Description: bacterial SSU rRNA
Rfam family: Bacterial small subunit ribosomal RNA
Source: RNAcentral
CCGCGUGAGUGAUGAAGGCCCUAGGGUCGUAAAGCUCCUUCGCCAGGGAUGAUAAUGACAGUACCUGGUAAAGAAACCCCGGCUAACUCCGUGCCAGCAGCCGCGGUAAUACGGAGGGGGUUAGCGUUGUUCGGAAUUACUGGGCGUAAAGCGCGCGUAGGCGGGUUGUUAAGUUAGAGGUGAAAUCCCGGGGCUCAACCCCGGAACUGCCUUUAAUACUGGCAACCUAGAGUUCGAGAGAGGUGAGUGGAAUUCCGAGUGUAGAAGUGAAAUUCGUAGAUAUUCGGAGGAACACCAGUGGCGAAGGCGGCUCACUGGCUCGAUACUGACGCUGAGGUGCGAAAGUGUGGGGAGCAAACAGGAUUAGAUACCCUGGUAGUCCACACCGUAAACGAUGAAUGCCAGUCGUCGGGUAGCAUGCUAUUCGGUGACACACCUAACGGAUUAAGC